GGUUGUGGCUCAGUGGUAGAUCACUUGCCUAGCAUGUAUGAGGGGACUGGGUUCAAUUCUCAGCACCA
Molecule: transfer RNA, 68 nt
Filed under: Marmota monax (woodchuck)
Lineage: Eukaryota; Metazoa; Chordata; Mammalia; Rodentia; Sciuridae
Description: tRNA.Ala
Source: RNAcentral